Molecule: ribosomal RNA, 450 nt
Filed under: uncultured bacterium
Lineage: Bacteria
Description: partial 16S ribosomal RNA
Rfam family: Bacterial small subunit ribosomal RNA
Source: RNAcentral
CCUACGGGUGGCUGCAGUAAGGAAUAUUGGUCAAUGGACGAAAGUCUGAACCAGCCAUCCCGCGUGCAGGAUGAAAGCCCUAUGGGUUGUAAACUGCUUUUAGCAGAGAAGAAAAGCUUUCGUUAAUGAGAGUCUGACGGUAUCUGCAGAAUAAGCACCGGCUAACUCCGUGCCAGCAGCCGCGGUAAUACGGAGGGUGCGAGCGUUAUCCGGAAUUACUGGGUCGUAGGCGUAGGUUUGCGGAAGAGGAGAAAUCUUGUCGCGUAACGAUAAAAUUGCCAAGGAUACUGGUACUCUUGAAUUGGGUUGAGGUUAGCGGAAUGUGACAUGUAGCGGUGAAAUGCAUAGAUAUGUCAUGGAACACCAAUUGCGAAGGCAGCUAACUGGGCCUUGAUUGACGCUGAGGCACGAAAGCGUGGGUAGCGAACAGGAUUAGAUACCCCAGUAGUC